This 5986-nucleotide long non-coding RNA is filed under the name Lactuca sativa (garden lettuce). RNAcentral describes it as "long non-coding RNA (LSAT_LNC010014)". The record is from RNAcentral. Lineage: Eukaryota; Viridiplantae; Streptophyta; Magnoliopsida; Asterales; Asteraceae.
UUACUAAAGGUUUAGUAAAUAUGAUUAUACUUAUAAGAUUAAGUGUAAUUCUGAAUUGAUUGAAAAGGUUUAAAUCAAUAGCAGAACGAAUAAGAAGAAUCAAGUAGGCAGAAAGAUAAAAGUUUCUCCAUUCUAAGAAGAAGGGAGAGUACCUUUUAUGCUUUAUGAUAGGUCUUAAUGAUUAAGAACCAUAUCUCAAUUGAUCCUCUAAGUGAGUCUUAGUACAAUUGUAUGUCUAAGAAGAGGAAUCAAGAAUUGAAGAAAUGGUUAAAUCAAUAAGUCAAUCAUACUUCGUUCCAAUAACAAGUCUUAAAGUUAAGAUUGUGACAUUGAGUGAAAGGUAUUAAGAAGGUUUAUAACAUUCAUUAAAUGUGGAAAGUUGUGAUGUCUUGGAUAAGACAAAGACCAACUAGGACCAAUUUAUGAAGUGUUUUGAUAAAAGCUACACUAACUCUUGAAUAUUUGUUUGUCAAGAAAUGGUUAUUGACAAGAGAAUCUUAUAUGUCAAGGAGUCAGUGGGAGUCUUAAUGGUCUUGAAAGGUUUCAAGAACAAAUCAAAUAAACCUUAUCGAUCAUCACUAGCACACGAGUUGAGGUUUACAACCUAUCGUGUUGACAUUAUUUUGAUUCUGUGCCAAUCCAAUCGAGUUAAUUAUGCAUGUGAGUUCUAUGAGUUCUCAUUUUGAACGCAUAAAAGGCAAAGCACCUUAAUCAAUGAAAGGUACAUUGAUAGGAAAGGGUGAGCUGCUUAACUACUUGGAAGACAUGGUGGGCAGCUGUGCUACCAUAAGGCAAGAAAUCAAGAUUAAGAAAGUUCGGUCCAUAUGAGUUUGAAUUUGUCGUAAACUUUGGUUUUAACAAAUUCACAUGGAUAGGAACACAUACACCGUUUAAAUCUAAGUGUCAUAAGAUUUCCUCCUUCAUGAAAAUGAUUGUGAGGAAAUGCUUUCACUAAGAAAGAUUUUAAGAAGAUAGUGAUUGUAAAAUUGCAUUCUCGAAUUCAAUUAUGGUUACGGCAUCCCUUUCCAUAAUUUGAAUUGUGAGGUUUGGCAAUUAGUCUUAAUUGUUUAGACACACAUAUGAACUAUCGAAGGCAAAGGUGUAUAAGUUCAAGAAGCCUUGAUAAAAGAUUAUCAAAGCACUAAGUAUUAGAAACAUGAACUUAAGAAAUUCAAUAAGCAUUUUUUUUCUGAAAGUUAAGAUGUUUAUGAAUACAUGUCGAAGCUAGUGGGAGCAUAAGUGUUAUGUUUUAUAAUAAUCAUCAUGAUAGUGGGAGCAUAAAUGUUAUGAUUGUAUGAUUAUUAAGGAAAGUAUUGCAAGGUUAGCAAUAUUAAUUAUAGAAAACAAGAGUCAUACUUUGCAAAGUUGUAAGAGUUGAAAAGUUGUUUUGCUAUAAUUAAGGGAGAGAAUAUUAUGCUUCAUUUCAAAUCUAAAGGAUUAGGUUGAGAAAUGUUAAUAAAUUUAGUCAAAGGUACAUAGUGUGUUCUUAAAAUUUCGAUUAUGAUUACGGCAUCCCUCUUCACAAUUCGAAUUUUGAGAACAUAGCAAAUAAAACAUUAUGCGUCGUGUCCCAUACGCUUCGGGUAUAGGAUCGAUUGCAAAUGCUUUAAUGUUUGACCAUUCUAAAAUUUUCCAAAUGUCUAGCGCAUUUAGAGGGAAAAAGGACUAGAAUCGGUUUUGACUAAAAUAAUUAAACAACUAUCAAAGGACAAUCCAAAGUUCGACGAGGAUUGGUCGCUUGUGAGUAGUUGGAAGUAUAGUAUUGGAAAAUAUGGAAAUGUUUCCAUAUUGGAUGGACCAUAUCGACAUCAUUACGAAUAGAUAAGAUUCUAUUAAGAAUGAGUUGUCAUAUGGAACAUAUGGAAGUGUGUCCAUAUUGGGAAUUGAAUAUUGAGAAAUCUAUGACUAGAUUAGAAACUUCUAUGCAAAAGGAUGUUCAAAGAAUGUACUUUGAGUGAGAGACAUCACAUCUAUGGAAUUGUCUUGUAACAAUCUCCGAUAGAGGACUUUGUAAUAUCAUUGGCAAUAGUCUUUGUGACUUUGGUGCAGUGACAUUACGAAAGGAUAGUUGCAUAGAAUGUUAGAAUCUAGCAUAUUCUAUAAGUAGCAAGAAUUUGAUAUUCUUACACUUAUGAAAAAGGAUUUGGAGUUGUGAAAUGAGAAUGAUUGGAAAUGUGUUCAAUUUGAUCUAUUUCACAAAGUAAGAACCAUAGGUAAACAUUGUGUGCAUGCUAGGAGCAUGGGACAAGUGUAAUAAUUCAAGUAAGAAGUUGAUUACCCGAAACGACAAAUAAUGAGUAAUCGAUAUGGUGAUAAAUAAAAGGUGUUUUAUUUAUACUCAAAGGUUUGAGGCCAUAUGGGAUUAGUAUUAUUCUUGUGUUUCACAUUUGCAUGUUUUGACUUCCAGAAUAAUUGAGUUUAUUAAGAAUAAUCGAAUUAUUCGAACGGGCCACAGUCGUUCAUAUGUUGGAAGUAGAUAUGAAUGAAGACUGUCGUGAAUUGGUGUGUGGAUUGUCUAAAAGAGUAUUAGACAUAAGCAAAUGUUUGCUGCAACGUUCAUGAGUGCUUAUGAAUAUGAUUUGAGCAUUGGAUUAAACCCACGCUCACUUGGAUCACUCCAUGAAUUGUAUCACGAGUGAUUGGUGAGACGAUAACAUCUUAUAUUCUUGAAACCGAGAUGUGUGAGUUGUAUCUUGCAAAUCGGUUGCACAUUGAUAAUAUGUAAACGCACUAGUAACUUGGUGUUAUAAAACAUAUUGUUGUGUGUGAUUCGGUGAGUGAGUGCAAGCAAGCAUUGAAUCAAAGUUUAUCCGUUCCUUUUAUCCAAAGUAGGAUAAAAGCGAUAUCUUUGGGCCCCUCGAUGAUUUAGUGAUGACAAACGUAAAUGCUCGGCCGGGCUAGGGCUAAUUUGAUUUGUUCAAUUAGUCAGUCGUCAUAAAUCGGAAGUCGAGAAAUAGUACAAAGAGAAUGAUUUGAAAUCAUGUCUCAUACGAUAUCUAGAAUGGAGGAAUAUAUGAUCCCUUAUCUAAAGGACACGCGUAUCUGAUAGGAUCAGAGUUGACAGCGGCUUUGGAAAGCUACGAUUGCAGAUCAGGAUCUGAAGUCAUACGCAUAAUAGUUAUUAGACUUAUCCAAGUGGGAGACUGUUGGAUUAGUGUCUAAGUCCAUAACUAUUUUGGUAUGUACUUGACCCGAUGGUGCAUGGUCCUUUUGGGUUGCCUUCACCAAAGCAACUUGAUAGGAUGAAUUAUGGAGAGAAAGGAUUAAAUAUGAUUUAUUAAUAUAUUAUGAGAAUAAUAUAUUAAAGGAGAAAUCAUAUUGGUUAAUUAAUAUUAGUCAAGAAUUAAUUGGUAAUUAGUUUUGUGACUAAAAGAGAUUAAUUAAACUUAAGGGACUGGAAUUGUAAUUAUAAGAUAGUUUCAAUUGGGCCAUGGAUUGCCUUGUAUUAAGGAGUGGACGAAUUUUAUGGGGAAACCCAUGAGAAAAUCGUCCAAGGCCUUACGGAAAGGGAUCCAUGGGUUGCUUAGGGCUUAAGCAUCCAAAUUAGGGUUUCCUUGUUAGAUAACCCUAAUAGCCUCCUAUAUAUAUAGAUCCCUUAUGACCCAAAAACGUGGCUAAGCAUCCUUCUAGGGUUUCACACGUUUUAGGGCAGCCUCCAUCCUCUCUCCUCUUCAUCCUCUUGCUCUUGGUGUUUGUGAACCAUUAGAGGAGUGACAUUUGUGACUCUAAGCUUUCUAAAGUCAAUAGAAGAAGGAUUGGGAUUGUUAUUGCUACAUAACAAUCAAGGUAUGAUCUAAACCCUAAUUAUAUGUUAUAUUGAUUGUCAUAUGCUAGAUCUAGGGUUUAUAGUCUUGGAUAACUUGCAUGUACAAUAGAGAAACCUAGAUCCAAGCAUUAGGGUUUGUAUGAGCACAUAGAAUGUUCUUAUGACCAAAACCCAUCACGUUGAGGAUUACAGACGAUUGUCAGGGCCACGUAGAGGCGCCUGUAGCGAGAAGUAGGGCCUUUCAGUUGAUAGCAGAGGAGGCGCGAUCAGCUUCCGUUGUGGUGACGGGUAUGUAUCUUCUCGUUAUCUCUUUAUUUAUAUUGAUUAAUGCUUAUGUUUCUGUGUUUCAUUAUAUGAUCGUUCCUUGUGAACGAUAUAUCUGCUCUAGUAUUGUUUGAUUCGGGGGCUACCCGAUCGUUUGUGUCACUCGCACUCAACAAGCGAUUCGUAGGGGCUCCGGGGGAGCUGGAUUGCCUACUUGACGUGGAGAUAGCAGAUGAUAGGUCCGACAGGGUUGCGUGGUACACCGAGGAUGUACACUGCAGUUGUUCGAUGAGCGGUUUUCUGCGGAUUUGGUCCCUAUUCCCUUGCAAGGGAAUAAGGUUAUAGUUUGUAUGGACUGGUUGAUCCCCAAUGGGGUAAUCAUCGACUCCAAGCAGCAGCUAGUGAGAGUUCGGACUCCUAGUGGGGGAGGGUUAAUGAUUCAGGGCGAAAGGUCGCAGGGUAGACCGUGUGACAACCCGAUAUUUCAACUCUUUGUAACGACCAAAAUNNNNNNNNNNNNNNNNNNNNNNNNNNNNNNNNNNNNNNNNNNNNNNNNNNNNNNNNNNNNNNNNNNNNNNNNNNNNNNNNNNNNNNNNNNNNNNNNNNNNAGUCCACCAUAAGAGUAACAAAGAUAUUCGUCAUGUUUUGCUAAAAGUUUAGUAAAUAUGACUAUACUCAUAAGAUUAGGUGUAAUUAUGAAUUGAUUGAAAAAGUUUAAAUCAAUAGCAGAACGAAUAAGAAGAAUCAAGUAGGCAGAAAGAUAAAAGUGUCUCCAUUCUAAGAAGAAAGGAGAGUACCUUUUAUGCUUUCUGAUAAGUCUUAAUGAUUAAGAACCAUAUCUCAAUUGAUCCUCUAAGUGAAUCUUAGUACAAUUGUAUGUCUAAGAAGAGGAAUCAAUAAUUGCAGAAAUGGUUAAAUCAAGAAGUCAAUCAUACUUCAUUCCAAAACAAGUCUUAGAGUUAAGAUUGUGACAUUGAGUGAUAAGUAUUAAAAGGUUUAUAACAUUCAUCAAAUGUGGAAAGUUGUGAUGUCUUGGAUAAGACAAAGACCAACUCGAACCAAUUUAUGAAGUGUUUUGAUAAAAGCUACACUAACUCUUGAAUAUUUGGUUGUCAAGAAAUGUUUAUUGACAAGAGAAUCUUAUAUGUCAAGGAGUUAGUGGGAGUCUUAAUGGAUUUGAAAGGUUUCAAGAACAAAUCAAAUAAACCUUAAUUGAUCAUCACCAGCACACGAGUUGAGGUUUACAACCUAUCGUGUUGACACUAUUUUAUUUCUGUGUCAUUCCAGUUGAGUUAAUUAUGCAUGUGAGUCCUAUGAGUUCUCAUUUAAAUGCAUAAAAGGCAGGUACCUUGAUCAAUGAAAAUUACAUUGAUAGGAAAAGGUGAGCUGCUUAACUACUUGGAAGACAUGGUGGGCAGUUGUGCUACCAUAAGGCAAGAAAUCAAGAUUAAGAAAGUUCGAUCCAUGUGAGUUUUAAUUUGUCGUAAACUUUGGUUUUGACAAAUUCACAUGGAUAGGAACAAAUACACCGUUUAAAUCUAAGUGUCAUAAGAUUUCCUCCUUCAUGAAAAUGAUUGUGAGGAAAUACUUUCACUAAGAAAGAUUUUAAGAAGAUAGUGAUUGUAAAAUUGCAUUCUCGAAUUCGAUUAUGGUUACGGUAUCCCUUUCCAUAAUUUGAAUUGUGAGGUUUGGCAAUUGUUUACACACACAUAUGAACUAUCUAAGGCAAAGGUGUAUAAGUUCAAGAAGCCUUGAUAAAAGAUUAUCAAAGCACUAAGUAUUAGAAACAUGGNUUCUGAAAGUUAAGCUGUUUCUGAAUACAUGUCAAAGCUAGUGGGAGCAUAAGUGUUAUGUUUAUAAUAAUCAUCAUGAUAGUGGGAGCAUAAGUGUUAUGAUUGUAUGAUUAUUAAGGCAUGUAUUGCAAGUUGGCAAUAUUAAUUAUAGAAAACAAGAGUU